GACGAACGCUGGCGGCGUGCUUAACACAUGCAAGUCGAACGGAAAGGCCCUGCUUUUGUGGGGUGCUCGAGUGGCGAACGGGUGAGUAACACGUGAGUAACCUGCCCUUGACUUUGGGAUAACUUCAGGAAACUGGGGCUAAUGCCGGAUAGGAGCUCCUGCUGCAUGGUGGGGGUUGGAAAGUUUCGGCGGUUGGGGAUGGACUCGCGGCUUAUCAGCUUGUUGGUGGGGUAGUGGCUUACCAAGGCUUUGACGGGUAGCCGGCCUGAGAGGGUGACCGGCCACAUUGGGACUGAGAUACGGCCCAGACUCCUACGGGAGGCAGCAGUGGGGAAUAUUGCACAAUGGGCGGAAGCCUGAUGCAGCAACGCCGCGUGCGGGAUGACGGCCUUCGGGUUGUAAACCGCUUUCGCCUGCGACGAAGCGUGAGUGACGGUAAUGGGUAAAGAAGCACCGGCUAACUACGUG
This 468-nucleotide ribosomal RNA is filed under the name uncultured bacterium. RNAcentral describes it as "partial 16S ribosomal RNA". It matches the Rfam family "Bacterial small subunit ribosomal RNA", at positions 28 to 507 of the family's 1533-position model. The record is from RNAcentral.